GAUGAACGCUGGCGGCGUGCUUAACACAUGCAAGUCGAACGGAAAGGCCCAAGCUUGCUUGGGUACUCGAGUGGCGAACGGGUGAGUAACACGUGGGUGAUCUGCCCUGCACUUCGGGAUAAGCCUGGGCAACUGGGUCUAAUACCGGAUAGGACCACAUUUUGGAUGGUGUGGUGGAAAGUUUUUCGGUGUGGGAUGAGCUCGCGGCCUAUCAGCUUGUUGGUGGGGUAAUGGCCUACCAAGGCGUCGACGGGUAGCCGGCCUGAGAGGGUGUACGGCCACAGUGGGACGGAGAUACGGCCCAGGCUCCUACGGGAGGCAGCAGUGAGGAAUAUUGAGCAAUGGGCGCAAGCCUGAGGCAGCGACGCCGCGUGGGGGAUGACGGACUUCGGGUUGUAAACGCCUUUCGCUAGGGACGAAGCGUUUUUGUGACGGUACCUGGAGAAGAAGCACCGGCUAACUACGUG
This 467-nucleotide ribosomal RNA is filed under the name uncultured bacterium. RNAcentral's name for it is "partial 16S ribosomal RNA". It matches the Rfam family "Bacterial small subunit ribosomal RNA", at positions 28 to 507 of the family's 1533-position model. The record is from RNAcentral.